AGUGAGACUGCGGGCGACAAGGUUCGUAGUCGAGAGGGAAACAGCCCAGACCGUCAGCUAAGGUCCCUAAAUAACGCUAAGUGUGAAAUGAUGUGUGAUUGCGAAGACAGCCAGGAGGUUGGCUUAGAAGCAGCCAUUCCUUAAAAGAGUGCGUAAUAGCUCACUGGUCGAGUAAUGAUGCGCAGACAAUGUAACGGGGCUAAGCGGUAUACCGAAGCUACGGAUUCAGUACGUAAAUGUUGGAUGGUAGGGGAGCAUUCCAUGGACCGAAGAAGGUAAACUGUAAGGUAUGCUGGAGGGGAUGGAAGAGAGAAUGCAGGUAUAAGUAGACGAAAAGACGGGUGAGAUUCCCGUCCGCCGAAAGCAUAAGGAUUCCUGGGUAAAGGUCAUCUGCCCAGGGUAAGUCGGCCCCUAAGGUGAGGACGAAAGUCGUAAUCGAUGGGAAACUGGUUCAGAUUCCAGUACCUUAUUAAGUUUUGAGGGGAUGACGCAUGAGGUGAAACCCGGCCGGGCGACGGUUGUCCCGGUCAAAGCAGUGAGUUGAUGAUUCCGGCAGGCAAAUCCAACUGGGAGAGAUGAGCUGUGACAGCGAGUGGAACUACGGUGAAGCGAAGCGGGCGUAAUCAAGGUGCCAAGAAAUAAUCUCUAAGGUUAGGCUUAUAAGACCGUACCGUAAACCGACACAGGUAUGCGGGAUGAGCAAUCUAAGGCGCUCGAGAGAACUCGCGUUAAGGAACUCGGCAAAAUACAUACGUAACUUCGGGAGAAGUAUGACCAUCUUUGGUUUAGCAAUAAGUUAAGGGUGGUGGCACAGAGCAGUCCCAGGCGACUGUUUAUCAAAAACACAGGC
Molecule: ribosomal RNA, 850 nt
Filed under: uncultured Treponema sp.
Lineage: Bacteria; Pseudomonadati; Spirochaetota; Spirochaetia; Treponematales; Treponemataceae
Description: partial 23S ribosomal RNA
Rfam family: Bacterial large subunit ribosomal RNA
Source: RNAcentral